GGUCUGGUUGGGCGGUCUGCCUGUUGGGUACGUACUGUCUGGCCGGAUCUGACCUUCUGGUACCGCCAUGUUGCUUUGCAAUGUGGAUUGGGAUUCCAGAUCUUUUACUUUGAAAAAAUUAGAGUGUUUAAAGCAGGCAUUCGCUUGAAUACAUUAGCAUGGAAUAAUGGAAUAGGGCUGCUGCCCCAUUUUGUUGGUUUCUGGGACCGUAGCA
Molecule: ribosomal RNA, 214 nt
Filed under: uncultured fungus
Lineage: Eukaryota; Fungi
Description: partial small subunit ribosomal RNA
Rfam family: Eukaryotic small subunit ribosomal RNA (bases 87-214)
Source: RNAcentral